This 253-nucleotide ribosomal RNA is filed under the name uncultured bacterium. Its description in RNAcentral is "partial 16S ribosomal RNA". It matches the Rfam family "Bacterial small subunit ribosomal RNA", at positions 524 to 776 of the family's 1533-position model. The record is from RNAcentral.
UACAGAGGUCCCAAGCGUUGUUCGGAUUCAUUGGGCGUAAAGGGUGCGUAGGUGGCGCCGUAAGUCAGGUGUGAAAUCUCGGGGCUUAACUCCGAAACUGCAUUUGAUACUGCGGUGCUUGAGGGCUGGAGAGGAGACUGGAAUUUACGGUGUAGCAGUGAAAUGCGUAGAGAUCGUAAGGAAGACCAGUGGCGAAGGCGGGUCUCUGGACAGUUCCUGACACUGAGGCACGAAGGCCAGGGGAGCAAACGGG